RNAcentral lists this ribosomal RNA (507 nucleotides) under uncultured bacterium. RNAcentral describes it as "partial 16S ribosomal RNA". It matches the Rfam family "Bacterial small subunit ribosomal RNA", at positions 28 to 507 of the family's 1533-position model. The record is from RNAcentral.
GACGAACGCUGGCGGCGUGCCUAAUACAUGCAAGUCGAACGCAUUUUCUUUCACCGUGGCUUGCUACACCGAAAGAAAAUGGGUGGCGUACGGCGGAGGUACACGUGGGUAACCUCCCCAUUAGCGGGGGAUAACACUGGGUAACAGGUGCUACUACAGCAUAAUUCCAUUUACCGUAUGGUAGAUAGAUGACAGGCGUUGUUGCGUCUCUGAUGGUAGGACCCGCGGUGGAUUUGCUAGUCGGUGGGGUGAGGGCAUACCAAGGCUGCGAUGCAUGGCGGACCUGCGAGGGUGAUCGGCCACCCUGGGACUGUGACACGGCCCAGUCUGCUACGGGAGGCAGCCGUAGGGAAUCGUCAGCAAUGGACGCAAGUCUGACCGAGCAACGCCGCGUGAGUGAAGAAGGUUGUCGGGUCGUAAAACUCUGUUGUUAGAGAAGAACAAGGAUGAGAGUGGAAAGUUCAUCCCUUGACGGUACCUAACCAGAAAGCCACGGCUAACUACGUG